AAUGCGUAGAGAUCAGGAAGAACACCGGUGGCGAAGGCGCUCUGCUGGGCUAUAACUGACACUGAGGGACGAAAGCUAGGGGAGCGAAUGGGAUUAGAUACCCCAGUAGUCCUAGCGGUAAACGAUGGAAACUAGGUGUGGCCUGUAUCGACCCGGGCCGUGCCGAAGCAAACGCGUUAAGUUUCCCGCCUGGGGAGUACGCACGCAAGUGUGAAACUCAAAGGAAUUGACGGGGGCCCGCACAAGCGGUGGAGUAUGUGGUUUAAUUCGAUGCAACGCGAAGAACCUUACCAGGACUUGACAUCUCUGGAAUUUCCUUGAAAGGGGAGAGUGCC
This 335-nucleotide ribosomal RNA is filed under the name Planktothrix agardhii PH-123. RNAcentral's name for it is "bacterial SSU rRNA". It matches the Rfam family "Bacterial small subunit ribosomal RNA", at positions 685 to 1018 of the family's 1533-position model. Lineage: Bacteria; Bacillati; Cyanobacteriota; Cyanophyceae; Oscillatoriales; Microcoleaceae. The record is from RNAcentral.